Long non-coding RNA from Octopus sinensis (East Asian common octopus), 155 nucleotides. RefSeq lists it as uncharacterized. Lineage: Eukaryota; Metazoa; Mollusca; Cephalopoda; Octopoda; Octopodidae. The transcript is spliced from 3 exons. The record is from RefSeq and is a predicted model, not a curated record.
UGUGUGUAUGUGUGUGUGUAUGUGCGAACAUGAAUAUCUUCAUAGAUCCAGGGAUCGAAGUGUAGGAGGAAAGUUAGCUUCAAGCAAUCUGUAGUAAAUAUAAGAAAACAACUUUCAGGGACAAUAGUGGUUUAUUGAGACGGAAGAUUAUGGAU